This is a non-coding RNA of Aegilops tauschii subsp. strangulata, 771 nucleotides long. The record is from RefSeq and is a predicted model, not a curated record. NCBI's taxonomy places the organism in Eukaryota, Viridiplantae, Streptophyta, Magnoliopsida, Poales, Poaceae.
CCGCGGCUCCACCCCCACCCCACCUAACGCGUGUAUAGUAUAGAAAAAAAAGUAUCCCUUGGACGACCGCAAGAGGCAGCCAUGGCGACGGCGGAGGCGGGGGGCGAUGGCUUCGAGUUUCUGUCAGAUCCUGUUGACAGGUUCCCCCUGCCGGAUCUUGGCGGCGGCGAGUCCAUGCUCGACGCUGAACCCACCCGAACUCUGGUGUGCACAACCGCCUAGUCCACCAUUGGUGAUGUAGGCGAUGCGGCGCUGACAGUCCAAGUAGACCUAAACAACACUUGCGAGGGGCUGAGUUUGUCGGCGCUGAACUAUGAGGAAUCAACGGGCAAAGAUGAUCCUCAAGCCCCGGGCUGGACGUAGAGAGAAUACGGUGUCAUCAACCGACGUGGCCGCGCCGAGGACUCCUUCCCUCGCCUCCUCCAGGAACUGCCCCAUCAGCGGUGGCAAAAACUGCUCCUUGAACUUGGAUGGACCGCCCGCCCAGCUGCACUGUGUUCUGCGCCACUUAGUUCCUGGCCAAUCCUGAAGGCAUCACAAGACAUUCCGGAAUCUGGUUAGAAUACUUAUUGCUUUAGUGAAUCUGAUAGCAAGAUAUACAUAGUUGCUGUCAAAUGUCAAUGUAUAUUUCCUUUGGUCUUAUUUCUAUGUAUAUAGAAGUUCAUGUUGCUUCUUCGCUCAAUAGCUGAUGGUUGGCUCUCCUAUCUUAUUGUCUAGCAUACUUUGACCUGUGAAUUAUGUAUAUAGAAGUUCAUGCUGCUUCUUAGCUCA